This 389-nucleotide ribosomal RNA is filed under the name uncultured bacterium. RNAcentral describes it as "bacterial SSU rRNA". It matches the Rfam family "Bacterial small subunit ribosomal RNA", at positions 30 to 416 of the family's 1533-position model. The record is from RNAcentral.
AUUGAACGCUGGCGGCGUGCCUAACACAUGCAAGUCGAGCGGUAACAGGUGUAGCAAUACAUGCUGACGAGCGGCGAACGGGUGAGUAAUGCUUCGGAAUCUGCCCAUGUAGUGGGGAAUAACCAGCCGAAAGGUUGGCUAAUACCGCAUACGACCUACGGGUGAAAGCAGGGGAUCGCAAGACCUUGCGCUAUUGGAUGAGCCGAAGUCGGAUAGCUUGUUGGUAGGGUAACGGCCUACCAAGGCGACGAUCCGUAGCUGGUCUGAGAGGACGACCAGCCACACUGGGACUGAGACACGGCCCAGACUCCUACGGGAGGCAGCAGUGGGGAAUAUUGGACAAUGGGGGCGAACCCUGAUCCAGCGACGCCGCGUGUGUGAAGAAGGCC